Molecule: non-coding RNA, 330 nt
Organism: Pelobates cultripes (western spadefoot toad)
Lineage: Eukaryota; Metazoa; Chordata; Amphibia; Anura; Pelobatidae
Source: the annotation of a GenBank genome assembly
GGUUGGGGUAGAGGUAGAGUUAGGGGUAGGGUUAAGGGUUGGGGUAGGGUUAGAGGAUGGGGAAGGGUUAAGGUUAGUGGUUGGAGUAGGGGUAGGGUAGGGGUAGGGUAACCCUAUUCUUAACCCUACCACUAACCUUUCCCCUAACCCUAACCAUACACCUAACCCUACCCUACCCCUAACCCUAACCCUAAACUUACCCCUUACCCUACCAUAACUCUACUCCUAUGACUGCUCCUAACCUAACCCCUAAUGCUACCUCUAACUCAUCCCUAACCCUACCCCUACUCCUGAACUAACCCUACCCGAACUCUACCCAUACCCCUACCC